Molecule: ribosomal RNA, 467 nt
Filed under: uncultured bacterium
Lineage: Bacteria
Description: partial 16S ribosomal RNA
Rfam family: Bacterial small subunit ribosomal RNA
Source: RNAcentral
GACGAACGCUGGCGGCGUGCUUAACACAUGCAAGUCGAACGGAAAGGCUCCAGCUUGCUGGAGUACUCGAGUGGCGAACGGGUGAGUAACACGUGGGUAAUCUGCCCUGCACUCUGGGAUAAGCCGGGGAAACUGGGUCUAAUACUGGAUAUGACCUUUCUCCUUAUGGGGUUUGGUGGAAAGUUUUUCGGUGUAGGAUGAGCCCGCGGCCUAUCAGCUUGUUGGUGGGGUGAUGGCCUACCAAGGCGACGACGGGUAGCCGGCCUGAGAGGGUGAUCGGCCACAUUGGGACUGAGAUACGGCCCAGACUCCUACGGGAGGCAGCAGUAGGGAAUAUUGCACAAUGGGCGGAAGCCUGAUGCAGCGACGCCGCGUGAGGGAUGACGGCCUUCGGGUUGUAAACCUCUUUCAGCAGGGACGAAGCGUAAGUGACGGUACCUGCAGAAGAAGCACCGGCUAACUAUGUG